GAUGAACGCUGGCGGCGUGCCUAAUACAUGCAAGUCGAGCGAACGGACGAGAAGUUUGCUGCUCUGAUGUUAGCGGCGGACGGGUGAGUAACACGUGGAUAACCUACCUAUAAGACUGGGAUAACGUCGGGAAACCGUAGCUAGUACCGGAUAAUAGUUUGAACCGCAGGGUGCAAAAGGGAAAGGCGGUCGUGCUGCUACUGAUAGAUGGAUCCGCGCUGGAUUAGCUAGUUGGUAAGGUAACGGCUUACCACGGCAACGAUGCCUAGCCGACCGGAGAGGGUGAUCGGCCACACUGGAACUGAGACACGGUCCAGACUCCUACGGGAGGCAGCAGUAGGGAAUCUUCCGCAAAGGGCGAAAGCCUGACGGAGCAGCGCCGCGUGAGUGAUGAAGGUCUUCGGCUUGUAAAACUCUGCUAUUAGCGAAGACCAUGUGUGUACGUGACUGUGCACAUCCUGACGGUACCUAAACAGAAAGCCCCGGCUAACUACGUG
Molecule: ribosomal RNA, 497 nt
Filed under: uncultured bacterium
Lineage: Bacteria
Description: partial 16S ribosomal RNA
Rfam family: Bacterial small subunit ribosomal RNA
Source: RNAcentral